Long non-coding RNA from Chiroxiphia lanceolata (lance-tailed manakin), 2491 nucleotides. RefSeq lists it as uncharacterized. The transcript is spliced from 2 exons. The record is from RefSeq and is a predicted model, not a curated record. NCBI's taxonomy places the organism in Eukaryota, Metazoa, Chordata, Aves, Passeriformes, Pipridae.
CGCGCCCGGGGAUGCGGGAGCGCUCCCGGGGGACGCUCGGGGAACCAGCCCUGCGGCUCCCACCGACGGGAAAACACGCCCGGCUCCCGCACAAAUGACAGCGGGACGGGGAGGUGCCUCCCUGAUUGUAUUCCAGGUGCACCUGGUGGUGCUCCGACGGAAAGUUUCGGUGCCUGCGCAAAAAGGGUUUCCUUCGCAGCGGUGCGGCGUUAAAACGGGCUUUCUGCGGAUGUUUCGCGGUUGUGGCGGACUCUGCGUUUGGGACAUGGACGGGUUCGAGAAGUGGGCCUAAUCCAAAGGCCACUGGGAGAGAGCAAACUCCUGCACCUUCAUUCAUUCUGCCUGGGAGUGAGGAGAUCAAAAGGUUUUCGAAGUCGUGGCUCAUCAUCUUUAUCCUGAGCUAAUGGAGGAAUGAUUUGAGCCUUACCAAAGACAACUUACAAGUGAGCUCUUUGAUUUCACAGGUUUAUUUUUGUAAGGGAAAUCAAAGUGAAUUAACUGAGAUAAUGGAUGUACUUGCUCUGUGCCUAUAGUCACCUUUGCUUUUCCACACAAGACAAAGUGGAGUGGAAAAGCAGUGCAGCAAUAACGUUUAUUUCCAACACUUAAUGUUUCACACUUUUAUACAACUGGUGCGUUAUUUUUUGUGGUGCUCCUAAAUAUAUGCAGCAAAGGUGUAGAAACUGCUCAGGCAUUAGAUGGUUUAGAGACUUUUAAGGCCGUUAAUGUAACAAUCUGUAAAGCAGGGAAGCUGAUUGACUUUUCAUUUAGAUUCCUUUCCUGGAACUGCAGUGGCUUUGGGGGUGUGAGCAGGGGAUACAAAGCAGCACACUGAUGUUAAUUGAGCAUUGCAGAUAGCUGUAAUUAGUUAAUAAAUGAGCUGUUGCUCAUUUCUCCUUUCUGGACCUCAAAUCUGGAAGUCAAACUGUGAUGUUUGUUUCUAUUUUGAGGGAGGGUAAGGGACCAUGUUUACCCUUCGUGAAGAAUGUGCUUUCUUGGGGUGUUAAUCAGGGGUUAAAUUAAUUCUUAUAUAGAUUGGCACUCCUUAGUCUCAGUUUACAUUUAUACCUGUACUAAGUGGGACCUGAAGAUUAAGUGCAUGCCUAAGGCAGGAAACACCAGAUUCAAUCAAAUGAAAGCUAAAGAAUUAUUUACAUAUUCUACAUAUUUAGUCCAUACAAUCCAUACAACAGCAAAAUUUAUUUUGAUGUCAGUGAAAAAAGAGGUUUGUCCUGUUGUCUGAUGAUGAUGUGUAACAAAUACAACACAACUGGUCCCAAGACCACCAUAAAGCCUCGCUGAUGUUGAUGAGGGUCCAUAUUCAUUUUAUUGCUUCCCACAUUUUCAUUUUAAUGAAAACCUGUUACAAAUAGAGCUAAUGCCACUAAAAUUUUGAUAGCCAGUAAAAAAAUACUCCUAAUUCACCAAGCAUAAAUAUCCCAAUGCUGUUUUUUUUACAGCUAAGAAGAAAUGGUAAUGGCAUAGGACUGUAAUAGUGAGAAAAUAGAAGAGUUUUAUUUUUCUCUUGCAAACAUAAUAUAAACUAUCCUGAAAAACAUUUUUCAUUAAAUAGUAAAAUGUUCAAGCUGACAUAUUUUACAUGCCUAGGCAGGAUAUGAUUCUUCACACUGUGCAUGUAUGGUUUUCAUUUAUUAAGAGGAAACCAAAAAAUGCUUCUUUCCAUAAAAUCUGAAAGUUUUAUCACAUCCUUAUGUCAACUCCUUGGAUUCUCACCUUAUUUUUUCAAUGCAUCACACUGCAUUGGAGGCACUUCUCUUGGAGCACAGAAACAUUCCUUUUCAUAACAUUAAUUCCAGGAAAUCCAAAUGCAGUAUUUGGCCGUGGAUGAUAUUUGAAAUUCUUGUCGCAGUAUCUUCUCAAAAGGAUGAAUGGAAACAGAACUGUUACCCUGCCUGAGAUAGAUUUGCAAUAAAUAAAAGAUACUCCAUAAAUGUACAGAUAUGAUCAAGAUUAGUUUCAUAGUUAUUGCAUAUAAUUACACAAGGGGAAUGUUUGUUCCAUCUCAGUUAAAUAGCACAGGUUUUUGUAAUAAUAAUAUUUUUCAUCAUCAGGCCUUGUAAGUAAAUACAACACUCUCAGUCAAAACAUAUGAGUAGUUAUUGUGCACACACAAUGCAAAUUCUUCUUGGAAAUAUUCCUCCCAGGAGAUGUGGAGAACUUAUAAAAACUUUAAUAAAUAACUGUUUGGCUUUUCUAUUUCUGUUAAAUAUAUUGUGUUGAAGAUGUUAUUGCUUCCAAGCAGCUGCUCAUCAUCUAGUUUUGCUGUACAAUUUCCAUUUGGGGUGAAUGACCUCUGUGCUCUCUAGAUCAUUUCUCUGAUGAAAACUGCCUGUGUUCCAUGUCUGGGUAUUCACAAAGCAAGAGGGUUCUGUACCUGAUGGAAAGACAAGUUUAAUAAAUACUCUGUUUUUUACAAUAUAUUGCUUUGAGUCAGAAUGGACAUAAAAUUAUGUUUAUAAGUUUGUGUUAC